AUGCGGGCUAUGCCGUGCGGCCAGGGUUUCUUCCACCAUAUAGGGCUACUCAGUCAAAAUUGUCCUAGCUUGCUGCAUUUUGGUCUUUCCAUAACAGGGACCCAAGUGUACAACCACCUCCGCAAGUGGCGUGCUAGGUGGGUGAAGAUAAGUAAGCUCCGAGACAUUAGUGGAUCACUUUGGGAUGACAACAACUAUGUCAUAUCGCUGGAGGAAGAGCACUACCUGGGUCAUAUCAAGGACCAUCCAAAAGAUGUUGAGUACCUCAAUGUGCCUUUAGAGAAUUAUGUUCAGAUGCUUGCUAUCUUUGGGAGUGGUAUUGCUACAGGAAGGUAUGCAAUGACAUCUCAUCAGGCUCUUGGGGUUCCUUCAAUGGUGGAAACCUCCCCAUCUUUUGUAAACCUUGAAGGUUGUGGUUCUGAAUUUGUUGUUGAUGGGAAUGAACCUGGCUCGAGUGCUACUGCUGCUGCUCAUGGGGAAGAUAUUGGUGCUGCUCCUCAUGGGAAGGAACCAUGUAAGGAUGCUUCCAGCUCCACUGGCAAAAGGAAAAGGGCUAGCCUGAUGAGUGAAGAAGAAGUUCUGGUCAUGAGCAACAUGUCUGAUGCAGUCCGUGAAGUUGCUAUUGCUAUCAAGUCCACCGGAGAGGCACACCCAGAGCUUUACAAUGCUGUCAUGGAGCUCCCUGGUUUUACCGAGGAUGAUCUAUUGAUUGUCUUGGAUUAUCUCAAUGAGAACGCCAACAGGGCUAGGAGCCACUCAUUCGUGCAGAUGUCAGAGACUCGUCGCACUCGUUGGGCCAUUCACCACCUCUCCAAGCUCAACGGUGAAGUGCCCGUGCCCAAGGAUGGAGUGCCACAGGAUGGAGCGCCUAAGGAUGGAGCGCCUAAGGAAGGAGUGUGA
RNAcentral lists this ribosomal RNA (900 nucleotides) under Triticum aestivum (bread wheat). RNAcentral's name for it is "partial small subunit ribosomal RNA". Lineage: Eukaryota; Viridiplantae; Streptophyta; Magnoliopsida; Poales; Poaceae. The record is from RNAcentral.